RNAcentral lists this ribosomal RNA (505 nucleotides) under uncultured Glomus. RNAcentral describes it as "SSU rRNA". It matches the Rfam family "Eukaryotic small subunit ribosomal RNA", at positions 569 to 1077 of the family's 1831-position model. Lineage: Eukaryota; Fungi; Glomeromycota; Glomeromycetes; Glomerales; Glomeraceae. The record is from RNAcentral.
AGCAGCCGCGGUAAUUCCAGCUCCAAUAGCGUAUAUUAAAGUUGUUGCAGUUAAAAAGCUCGUAGUUGAACUUCGGGAUCAAUGAAUCGGUCAUGCUUUCGUAUGUACUGGUUUUAUUGGUUCUCACCUUCUAAGGAACCAUAAUGUCAUUCAUUUGAUGUUAUGGGGAAUUAGGACUGUUACCUUGAAAAAAUUAGAGUGUUUAAAGCAGGCUAACGCUUGAAUACAUUAGCAUGGAAUAAUGAAAUAGGACAUCGCAUUCUAUUUUGUUGGUUUCUAGGAUCGAUGUAAUGAUUAAUAGGGAUAGUUGGGGGCAUUAGUAUUCAAUUGUCAGAGGUGAAAUUCUUGGAUUUAUUGAAGACUAACUACUGCGAAAGCAUUUGCCAAGGAUGUUUUCAUUAAUCAAGAACGAAAGUUAGGGGAUCGAAGACGAUCAGAUACCGUCGUAGUCUUAACCAUAAACUAUGCCGACUAGGGAUCGGAUGAUGUUGAUUUUUAAUGACUU